This 1632-nucleotide ribosomal RNA is filed under the name Triticum aestivum (bread wheat). Its description in RNAcentral is "partial small subunit ribosomal RNA". The record is from RNAcentral. Lineage: Eukaryota; Viridiplantae; Streptophyta; Magnoliopsida; Poales; Poaceae.
AUGGAUUGGCGAUACUUGGAAAUUUACGACGACACGGAAGAUCCAUGUGGACUAAUGUACUACAAAGGCAUCUACCAUAAUUUCUACCAGUAUAACCCCCACUGCGCCCUCUGGUGUUGGGGUGACAUAACUUGGGGCCAUUCGGUUUCGACAGACCUUGUCAACUGGAUCCAGCUUGAACCUGUGAUAGAACCGGAUAACCCUAGUGACAUUGACGGCUGCUGGACCGGUUCAGCCACAAUUCUAUCUGGUGGUCAACCGGUCAUCUUAUACACCGGUGGCAGGAGAGACAAGCGUCAGGUCCAAAACCUUGUGCUUCCCAAGAACCCGUCUGACCCGUACCUGAGAGAAUGGACCAAAAUUGGCAAUAACCCAGUGAUCCAACCGGUAGUACCGGGUUUGAACAGAAGCCAAUUCAGGGAUCCGACGACCGGUUGGAUCGGACCAGAUGGACUGUGGAGAAUAGCAGUUGGUGCCGAGCUGAAAGGCUACACUGCUGCACUUUUGUACAAGAGUGAAGACUUUUUGAGUUGGACAAUAGUUGAUCACCCACUGUAUUCACAGAACUACUCAUGCAAUAUGCGGAAGUGCAAUAUGUGGGAGUGCCUGGAUUUCUUUGCGGUGUUGCCAGGCAAUAACAGUGGACUGGACAUGUCCGCAGCAAUCUUAAGAGGCACCAAGCAUGCUCUCAAAAUGAGUGUGGAUUACUUUGAUAAGUACUUGAUUGGGGUUUAUGAUCUCAAACGUGAUGCCUUUCUGCCAGAUACUAUCGUAGAUGACUGUCGGCUGUGGCUGAGGAUCGAUUAUGGCCAUUUCUAUGCUUCAAAGUCAUUCUUUGACUCGAAAAAGGGCAGGAGGAUCAUAUGGGGUUGGUCUCAGGAGGCAGAUUGUCGUUCAGAUGAUGUUGCAAAAGGUUGGGCAGGAAUCCAUACAAUCCCCAGGACGAUUUGGCUAGACAGCAAUGGCAAGCAGUUGCUGCAAUGGCCAGUUGAUGAGAUUGAGUCCCUUCGAACAAAUGAAAUCAACCAUCAAGGACUUGAGCUCAACAAGGGAGAUAUGUUUGAGAUCAAUGGAGUUGACACUUUUCAGGCUGAUGUGGAGAUAUAUUUUGAGCUGACGUCCAUCAAUGCCGCCGAACCUUUUAAUUCUUCCUGGCUUUUCGACCCUGAGGAGCAUUGCUGUGAAGCCGGUGCAUCGGUUCAUGGUGGUAUAGGGCCAUUUGGACUUGUUAUUCUGGCCUCCAACAACAUGGAUGAGCACACUGUCGUGCACUUCAGAGUCUACAAGUCACAGCAAAAGUACAUGAUACUCAUGUGCUCUGAUCUAAGAAGGUCUUCCAUCAGACCAUCACCGUACACACCAGCCUAUGGAGGCUUCUUUGAACUUGAUCUUGCAAAGGAGAGGCAGAUAUCUCUCAGAACUCUGAUUGAUCGGUCGGCGGUGGAGAGCUUCGGUGGUGGUGGUAGGGUUUGCAUCACGUCCAGAGUUUAUCCAGCGGUGCUCGCCGGUGUCGGCAAGGCCCACAUGUAUGCCUUCAACAAUGGAAGUGCCACGGUCAGGGUGCCACAGCUCAGCGCAUGGACCAUGAGGAAGGCAGAAGUGAACGUGGAGAAGGGUUGGAGUGCUAUUUAA